Molecule: microRNA precursor, 182 nt
Filed under: Oryza brachyantha (malo sina)
Lineage: Eukaryota; Viridiplantae; Streptophyta; Magnoliopsida; Poales; Poaceae
Description: MIR812 microRNA precursor family
Rfam family: MIR812 microRNA precursor family
Source: Rfam by way of RNAcentral
UUUAUUUUUUCGUGUCCAACGUUUGAUCAUUCCUCUUAUUUGAAAUUUUUUUUUUUGAUAAAUAUUUUUAUUAUUACUAGAUGAUAAAAUAUGAAUAGUAUUUUAUAUGUGACUAAUUUUUUAAAAUUUUUAUACAAAUUUUUCAAAUAAGACGAAUGGUCAAACGUUGCACACAAAAAAAC